This 82-nucleotide transfer RNA is filed under the name Erythrobacter sp. YT30. It matches the Rfam family "tRNA". Rfam says of the family: Transfer RNA (tRNA) molecules are approximately 80 nucleotides in length. Their secondary structure includes four short double-helical elements and three loops (D, anti-codon, and T loops). The record is from Rfam by way of RNAcentral. Lineage: Bacteria; Pseudomonadati; Pseudomonadota; Alphaproteobacteria; Sphingomonadales; Erythrobacteraceae.
GCCCCUGUGGUGGAAUUGGUAGACGCGAGCGAUUCAAAAUCGCUUUCCUACGGGAGUGCCGGUUCGAGUCCGGCCAGGGGCA